GAUUUGUCUGGUUAAUUCCGAUAACGAACGAGACCUUAACCUGCUAACUAGUUUUUCCAUUCUUAAUGGUUACAACUUCUUAGAGGGACUAUGUAAUUUAACUAUAUGGAAGUUUGAGGCAAUAACAGGUCUGUGAUGCCCUUAUAUGUCCUGGGCUGCACGCGUGCUACACUGAUGUAUACAGCAAGUGCCUAACUAGAUAUGGUAUGGCAAUCUCGAAUAUGCAUCGUGAUGGGGAUAGAUCUUUGCAAUUAUAGAUCUUGAACGAGGAAUUCCUAGUAAGUGCAAGUCAUCAUCUUGCAUUGAUUACGUCCCUGCCCUUUGUACACACCGCCCGUCGCUCCUACCGAUACCGGGUGAUCCGGUGAACCUUUUGGACCUUUCACGAGGAAAGAUAAGUAAACCAUAUCACCUAGAGGAAGGAGAAGUCGUAACAAGGUUUCCGUAGGUGAACCUGCRGAAGGAUCA
This 468-nucleotide ribosomal RNA is filed under the name uncultured ciliate. RNAcentral's name for it is "SSU rRNA". It matches the Rfam family "Eukaryotic small subunit ribosomal RNA". The record is from RNAcentral. Lineage: Eukaryota; Ciliophora.